CUGAGAAUGAGUGUCUAAUGUCCAUGCAUUUCCGGUUUUGUGCCUCGAGAUAAUUAUGGACAAACGACUCAGCGCCUUGCUUUUCUGGGAGGACAGCUCAGCCAGCCAGGACCGCUGAAGGCCAGCGGCCUCAGGCUGUGCUGGGCUGCUGGUGAAGGGAGCUGCAGAGCGCAGAGUGGUGCCGUGCCUGCUGCCAGCAAACUUCCAGCUCGGUGUCUCCCUGCUCAUCAAAACCACCAGGGGAUCCACGAGGGACAAAGAGGUAUUUUAAGAUUACAUAGGCCUGACAGCAAGAUUUGGCUUCCAGUGGAGUCAUAUGCUCCAUCUGGCCAUGUGAAAGGAUUUGCCUGCUUCCUGCAAACAGUAUUAGAGCGAUUCUCUCUUUUUAAAGUGCUCAGUUUAGUCCUUGAAAGUAUAGUUCAACAAGAGGUAAAUAUACCGAUUAGAAGAGAAUGCCUGCAUUUUCAAGCCCUGUUUUCUCUUAUCACGGUAAACAGCUUUUCAUGUUGUUAAUUAACAGCUCAAGCUCAAGUUCGGGCUCAAAACCAGAUCAGUCUUCUGCUCUUAUUAUUUCUAUACAACGUCAGCCUGUUGGUUAAAACUUCUUUUCUCUAAUUCCCUGGAUUAGUUCCUUCACAGUCAGUUUAUGCGCUUUUGUUUUCAUGCAUGGAUGUACUGUAGAUAAACUCCUACUACUCUCCUGUUUAUUUUCCUGCACUAUGGGCAGCAAUCCUUACCCUGCUAAUUAACCUCUUACAAAGCAGAUAAAAUAAUUUCUAUGGCCUUCUCCCCUGGGACUGACUCUCCAUUUCUCAGAGAUCUUAGUAGCCAUCCCUGUACGUAUCCCAGUUCAUAUUCCUCUCUCCUCAAUAUGGUCAAGGUAUUUCAGAGAGGAUCUUAGUGAGGCCUUGGGGUGUGCGUUAGCUGGAAAUACCCCUUUAAAUACAUUCUGGGAUUAUAUUUGCCUUUUUUUUUUCUCUCAUGGCUGCCUUACAUCAAUGGCUCAAAGCUAUCAUGAGAUCAAACAGUAUACUCUUUUAUCACUUGCACUUGCAUAACUUGCAGUUUGUUUCAUCCUGCUUACUUUACUCUCCUUUUCAAAAAAAAUAUUUUGUAGGGAUUCUGUUCAGAUCCUUUCCUGACGAUACAUCCCCAAUUUGUGUAGUUUACAAAUCUCAUUACCACAUUUCUUGAUCCAGGUCACCAAGGAAAACAAUGUAGAAGACUGGUCCCAAAAUAUGUUAUUUCUGAGUAAUAAAUGAAUACGCCACACAGUCGUCUAUGCA
Molecule: long non-coding RNA, 1286 nt
Filed under: Struthio camelus australis
Lineage: Eukaryota; Metazoa; Chordata; Aves; Struthioniformes; Struthionidae
Description: lncRNA (ENSSCUG00000001991.1)
Source: RNAcentral